GAAACCAACAGGGAUUGCCUUAGUAGCGGCGAGUGAAGCGGCAAUAGCUCAAAUUUGAAAUCUGGCGCCUUCGGUGUCCGAGUUGUAAUUUGAAGAAGGUAUCUUUGGUUUUGGCUCUUGUCUAUGUUUCUUGGAACAGGACGUCAUAGAGGGUGAGAAUCCCGUCUGAUGAGAUGCCCAAUUCCAUGUAAAGUUCCUUCGACGAGUCGAGUUGUUUGGGAAUGCAGCUCUAAGUGGGUGGUAAAUUCCAUCUAAAGCUAAAUAUUGGCGAGAGACCGAUAGCGAACAAGUACUGUGAAGGAAAGAUGAAAAGAACUUUGAAAAGAGAGUGAAAAAGUACGUGAAAUUGUUGAAAGGGAAGGGUUUAAGGUCAGACUUGGUUUACCAGGCCAGCAUCGGUUUAGAUGGCAGGAUAAUGGCGUAGGAAUGUGGCUUUGCUUCGGUAAAGUGUUAUAGCCUGCGUUGAUACUGCCUAUUUAGACCGAGGACUGCGUCUUUGACAAGGAUGC
RNAcentral lists this ribosomal RNA (509 nucleotides) under Yamadazyma mexicana. RNAcentral describes it as "eukaryotic LSU rRNA". It matches the Rfam family "Eukaryotic large subunit ribosomal RNA", at positions 61 to 554 of the family's 3401-position model. The record is from RNAcentral. Lineage: Eukaryota; Fungi; Ascomycota; Pichiomycetes; Serinales; Debaryomycetaceae.